This 492-nucleotide ribosomal RNA is filed under the name uncultured bacterium. Its description in RNAcentral is "partial 16S ribosomal RNA". It matches the Rfam family "Bacterial small subunit ribosomal RNA", at positions 29 to 507 of the family's 1533-position model. The record is from RNAcentral.
AGUGAACGCUGGCGGUAGGCCUAACACAUGCAAGUCGAACGGCAGCACAGUAAGAGCUUGCUCUUACGGGUGGCGAGUGGCGGACGGGUGAGGAAUACAUCGGAAUCUACUUUUUCGUGGGGGAUAACGUAGGGAAACUUACGCUAAUACCGCAUACGACCUACGGGUGAAAGCAGGGGAUCUUCGGACCUUGCGCGAUUGAAUGAGCCGAUGUCGGAUUAGCUAGUUGGCGGGGUAAAGGCCCACCAAGGCGACGAUCCGUAGCUGGUCUGAGAGGAUGAUCAGCCACGCUGGAACUGAGACACGGUCCAGACUCCUACGGGAGGCAGCAGUGGGGAAUAUUGGACAAUGGGCGCAAGCCUGAUCCAGCCAUACCGCGUGGGUGAAGAAGGCCUUCGGGUUGUAAAGCCCUUUUGUUGGGAAAGAAAAGCAGCAGGUUAAUACCCCGCUGUUCUGACGGUACCCAAAGAAUAGGCACCGGCUAACUUCGUG